RNAcentral lists this ribosomal RNA (492 nucleotides) under uncultured bacterium. RNAcentral describes it as "partial 16S ribosomal RNA". It matches the Rfam family "Bacterial small subunit ribosomal RNA", at positions 29 to 507 of the family's 1533-position model. The record is from RNAcentral.
AGUGAACGCUGGCGGUAGGCCUAACACAUGCAAGUCGAACGGCAGCACAGUAAGAGCUUGCUCUUACGGGUGGCGAGUGGCGGACGGGUGAGGAAUACAUCGGAAUCUACUUUUUCGUGGGGGAUAACGUAGGGAAACUUACGCUAAUACCGCAUACGACCUACGGGUGAAGGCAGGGGAUCUUCGGACCUUGCGCGAUUGAAUGAGCCGAUGUCGGAUUAGCUAGUUGGCGGGGUAAAGGCCCACCAAGGCGACGAUCCGUAGCUGGUCUGAGAGGAUGGUGGGGCACAAUGGAACUUAGACACGGUCCAGACUCCUACGGGAGGCAGCAGUGGGGAAUAUUGGACAAGGGGCGCAAGCCUGAUCCAGCCAUACCGCGUGAGUGAAGAAGGCCUCCGGGUUGUAAAGCCCUUUUGUUGGGAAAGAAAAGCAGCAGGUUAAUACCCCGCUGGUCUGCCGGGACCCAAAGAAUAAGCACCGGCUAACUUCGUG